RNAcentral lists this ribosomal RNA (391 nucleotides) under uncultured eukaryote. RNAcentral describes it as "partial 18S ribosomal RNA". It matches the Rfam family "Eukaryotic small subunit ribosomal RNA", at positions 592 to 976 of the family's 1831-position model. The record is from RNAcentral.
CAAUAGCGUAUAUUAAAGUUGUUGCAGUUAAAAAGCUCGUAGUUGGAUUUCUGUGAGAGUGCCGGUGUCGGCUGAUGCUUGUACGCAGGCGCUCUUACAUCCUUCUGUUAACUGAUCUUGGCAUUUUAUUGCUGGUUCAGGGCUCAGAUAUUUUACCUUGAGAAAAUUAGAGUGUUUCAGGCAGGCUUAUGCCGGAAUACAUUAGCAUGGAAUAAUGGAACAGGACCUGUGCGUCUUUCGGGGCGCCGGUCUCCGUUAUUGGUUUCGGGGACUAAAGUAAUGAUUAAUAGGGAUAGUUGGGGGCAUUAGUAUUUAAUAGUCAGAGGUGAAAUUCUCGGAUUUGUUAAAGACUAACUUAUGCGAAAGCAUUUGCCAAGGAUGUUUNCAUUAA